This 497-nucleotide ribosomal RNA is filed under the name uncultured bacterium. Its description in RNAcentral is "partial 16S ribosomal RNA". It matches the Rfam family "Bacterial small subunit ribosomal RNA", at positions 28 to 507 of the family's 1533-position model. The record is from RNAcentral.
GAUGAACGCUGGCGGCGUGCCUAAUACAUGCAAGUCGAGCGAACAGACGAGGAGCUUGCUCCUUCGACGUUAGCGGCGGACGGGUGAGUAACACGUAGGUAACCUACCUAUAAGACUGGGAUAACUUCGGGAAACCGGAGCUAAUACCGGAUAAUAUUUCGAACCGCAUGGUUCGAUAGUGAAAGAUGGCUUUGCUAUCACUUAUAGACGGACCUGCGCCGUAUUAGCUAGUUGGUAAGGUAACGGCUUACCAAGGCAACGAUACGUAGCCGACCUGAGAGGGUGAUCGGCCACACUGGAACUGAGACACGGUCCAGACUCCUACGGGAGGCAGCAGUAGGGAAUCUUCCGCAAUGGGCGAAAGCCUGACGGAGCAACGCCGCGUGAGUGAUGAAGGUCUUCGGAUCGUAAAACUCUGUUAUUAGGGAAGAACAAACGUGUAAGUAACUGUGCACGUCUUGACGGUACCUAAUCAGAAAGCCACGGCUAACUACGUG